This is a non-coding RNA of Puntigrus tetrazona (Sumatra barb), 315 nucleotides long. RefSeq annotates it as small Cajal body-specific RNA 7. NCBI's taxonomy places the organism in Eukaryota, Metazoa, Chordata, Actinopteri, Cypriniformes, Cyprinidae. The transcript has a single exon. The record is from RefSeq and is a predicted model, not a curated record.
UGGAUAUGAUGACAGCUGAGGUGCGGCGCUGGCUGAGUGAAUGCUGAACAGAAACACAAUGUAAUGUUUAAAAUGUGUAGUUUAAGUGUUAGGUGUGUGUGUGUGUGUGUGUGUGUGUGUGUGUGGAGCUGAGGGACGGGGUGUCAGAGAUCAGUGCUGAUAAAGGAGUGCAUCUGAGGUGGGCCGCUCGCUGUGAGGCUUCUCUGCGGUCUGACUGAUGAUUAGAGCCUCGCUAUCACCCUCUCCCUCAGCCGCCGGCGCCGUGCUCUCAGCAGGGCCCGUGACCCGACACACACGCCCUGCGGUCUGAUCCAC